Molecule: ribosomal RNA, 433 nt
Filed under: uncultured bacterium
Lineage: Bacteria
Description: bacterial SSU rRNA
Rfam family: Bacterial small subunit ribosomal RNA
Source: RNAcentral
AGCGAACGCUGGCGGCAGGCCUAACACAUGCAAGUCGAACGAACUCUUCGGAGUUAGUGGCGGACGGGUGAGUAACACGUGGGAACGUGCCCUUUGGUACGGAAUAACUCAGGGAAACUUGAGCUAAUACCGUAUGUGCCCUUCGGGGGAAAGAUUUAUCGCCAUUGGAGCGGCCCGCGUCUGAUUAGCUAGUUGGUGAGGUAAAGGCUCACCAAGGCGACGAUCAGUAGCUGGUCUGAGAGGAUGAUCAGCCACAUUGGGACUGAGACACGGCCCAAACUCCUACGGGAGGCAGCAGUGGGGAAUCUUGCGCAAUGGGCGAAAGCCUGACGCAGCCAUGCCGCGUGAAUGAUGAAGGUCUUAGGAUUGUAAAAUUCUUUCACCGGGGACGAUAAUGACGGUACCCGGAGAAGAAGCCCCGGCUAACUACGUG